This 1911-nucleotide long non-coding RNA is filed under the name Nicotiana tabacum (common tobacco). Its description in RNAcentral is "long non-coding RNA (NTAB_LNC005737)". Lineage: Eukaryota; Viridiplantae; Streptophyta; Magnoliopsida; Solanales; Solanaceae. The record is from RNAcentral.
GGCUGGCAACUAUAGGUCCUAAUUAUAUUUAAGUGUCGGAAGACCCCCCCCCACCCUCCAGUCGUCGUCUCCAAACACACCCCUAAUAAGUUCUGCGUAACACCACCGUCCGCCGCCGCAGGAAAUCGCCCACGGCGGCGGCCCGUCUCCAAAUCAUACCAAAAUAACACCCUAGAACCUUCUUUCUAUCCUCUUUCCAACCCCCAACUUAGAUUCCCUCGAAUCUACCCCAAGUCUUCGAAUCUUAAAUCUGAAAAACUCCGGCCAAGUCACAAAGUGGUCCAAAUCUGACCAAAUUCACACCGCCGAAUCUCCUCAACUCCCUUAACCCAAAUCCACAACUAGUGGUCCUCAAAUAUCAGUUUAAUGGCUCGAAUUUUAAUUCAAAGUUGGCCGAAAGCCUAAAUUCUCGGAAAGGCUACCAAAUCGGUAUUACAUGGUCUCCUCACCCUCCUUGUGCAGAAUCCAUCAGUGGCAAGGGUCAUUCAUCGCCAAAAGUUAUUUAAUUAUUUUUAAAAAAGAGAAGUGUUACGCCAUGGCAGUGAGUUUUCUUUUCUAUUUCUUUCUUUCUGUUUUUCUGUAUGUUUGAGUAUCUCUGACGCAAUUGUUUAGUGUUGCUUCCAGUGUGGUUUGAAUUUUAGACUUAGGUAGUUUAAAUUUUCGGAUUAGUUUUGUUCGUUCUGUUAAUUGGCUUAUUAGAUUAAUUCUGAUUCUUCGUUUGGAUAGUUUAUUUGUUAGGUAUUUGUUAAUUUGAUUAGUUUAGUUGAAGUUCCUUCUUGUAAUUUGAUUUUUCUUGUUAGAUUUCUUUAGUUCAAAUCUGUUUUGAAAGUAUUUGGUUCCCAUCUAAUUGAAUUGGUAUUUUGUAAGUUUGAUUAAGUUUAGUUUAGUUAAUGUUCAAGGUGCACUGGCAGGAUAAUUAGCUCUACGAGAAUUGGAUAUAGUUGGCUAGACUAGUUUAGUAAUUUUGAGUGAAUUCAAGGGCGUUGUGGGUAAUUGGUAGUUACAAGAAUUAUGUGGAACCCCCUAAGAGCUUCUAGAUGGGGGCUUCUAGGUAAUUUGCAAAGGAUAUGUGUAGUUACUUGGUUAACAAGUUAAUAAAUAAAGGGCUAAAGCUGAAAAGAAAACGGGACUAAUAGGGAAAACAGAAAUGUGAGGGCUGCCCCUCCUUUGGCCUAUAUAAAGGCAUGAAUAGUGCCAUGAAUAGGAAGCUUUUCAGCCAUCAAAAUUCCCCCCAAAUACUCUCUAGCUGCAGAUUCACAAUGAGAUCUGAAAUCUGAAAUUUCCCUUAGAUUGUUUUAGGCUUUUCUAUAAAUAAAAAACCAAAACCACAACAAAACUUCAAAAAUCCAAAACAUCACUGUUAUACUGCUGUUUGCAUUUCAAUUUCAAGUUUAAUUGCUGGUCAGGUUUCUCUUAGUUCAUGGUUUGUUAGUUGAAAUUCAGAAACUAUUCCAUUGGUGUUUGUUUUUGAUUGCUGUGGGAAUUCUGGGUUGGAUUUCAAGUUAAAUUGGUGUUCAAGCUGUGUGUGUGGGUGAUCUCUAUUUUCCUACUGGGUUUCAAAGUUUUUCUAGGCUUUUUGAGUUAAAUCUUAAAUUGCUGUUGAUUUCUGCCCAUCACUGCUGUUUGAAUUGCUGAGUAUCAGUUUGAUUACUUGCUGUUGAUCCCUUCUCUUCCUUUUCUGUCCUGUUUCCAGGUAUGUGACCUUGUAGCUCUUUUUUGUUUGGAAGUGAAUUUGAGGAAUGAAAUGGAAAUGAAGAAUUGAAGUCUGGAAACUGUCCAAGCUCACUUGUUUUUUCUGAUUUUGUUUGUUGUUUAACUUAGUCUGAUUGUUUUGUCCAGAUUAGUUGUAGUUGAGCAUGUGAGUUACUAGUAGAGUGACAUGGUGUUAGAUGGUUGAAUUGAUUCAUAUAU